This 470-nucleotide ribosomal RNA is filed under the name uncultured bacterium. RNAcentral's name for it is "bacterial SSU rRNA". It matches the Rfam family "Bacterial small subunit ribosomal RNA", at positions 28 to 507 of the family's 1533-position model. The record is from RNAcentral.
GACGAACGCUGGCGGCGUGCCUAACACAUGCAAGUCGAACGAGGUCCAUGCAGUGGCAACACUGCGGAAGAUCUAGUGGCGAACGGGUGAGUAACACGUGAGGAACCUGCCCCGAAGACCGGGAUAACCCUCCGAAAGGAGAGCUAAUACCGGAUACCCCCACCGGAUCGCAUGAUCUGGUGAGGAAAUGGAUUCCGCUUCGGGAGGGCCUCGCGGCCUAUCAGCUUGUUGGUGGGGUAACGGCCCACCAAGGCAUCGACGGGUAGCUGGUCUGAGAGGACGAUCAGCCACACUGGGACUGAGACACGGCCCAGACUCCUACGGGAGGCAGCAGUGGGGAAUCUUGCGCAAUGGGCGAAAGCCUGACGCAGCAACGCCGCGUGGGGGAUGAAGGCUCUCGGGUUGUAAACCCCUUUCAGCAGGGACGAAUCAAGACGGUACCUGCAGAAGAAGCCCCGGCUAACUACGUG